AUGUUACACAUUAUGAAUGACCAAUCCACUAAGCAAAAAUGCACUCAUGAAAAUUAACAGUUCAAACCAAGCAAGUGUUUCACUCAAUCACUCAAGUGUUUAAGGUGACACUCCAACUCUCUAUUNUUCACAAGUCACAUGAAACAAAAUUGCCAUUCAUCUCAAACAAUCAACAUCUUUACAUGCAAAUGCCAUCAAAAGGACUUUUGGAAGGCUUAUGAUGAGGUUGGGUUAACAAGAAGAAUUGGUUUUUCUAGAAUGCGAAAUCCUUGAGUCAAGAGAGCUAUCAAAAUAUUCAACAUUUAAGCACAACUCUCUUCCUCACCAAUCUCUCUUAUUCCCAACUUUUUCCCCUUUUCUUUUUCAUUAAGCUCAUCUUCAUGCUUUUCUUCUUUUCUUUUCUUUUUCUCAUGAACUUUUCUUUUCACAACAUUUGAGCUCAAUGCUUUUUCACUUGCCUUUCAAUUUCCCCCAUGCAACUCCAAACUUGAACCUUUUCAUCGCAUACAAUUAAGCUCAUCCC
RNAcentral lists this long non-coding RNA (523 nucleotides) under Vigna radiata. RNAcentral describes it as "long non-coding RNA (VRAD_LNC012500)". The record is from RNAcentral. Lineage: Eukaryota; Viridiplantae; Streptophyta; Magnoliopsida; Fabales; Fabaceae.